GAGCGAAUGACGAGGAGCUUGCUCCUCUGAUUUAGCGGCGGACGGGUGAGUAACACGUGGGCAACCUGCCCUGCAGACUGGGAUAACUUCGGGAAACCGGAGCUAAUACCGGAUAAUCCAUUUUACUUCAUGGUGAAAUGUUGAAAGGCGCUUUCGCGCCACUGCAGGAUGGGCCCGCGGUGCAUUAGCUAGUUGGUGGGGUAACGGCCUACCAAGGCGACGAUGCAUAGCCGACCUGAGAGGGUGAUCGGCCACAUUGGGACUGAGACACGGCCCAAACUCCUACGGGAGGCAGCAGUAGGGAAUCUUCCACAAUGGACGAAAGUCUGAUGGAGCAACGCCGCGUGAGUGAUGAAGGUUUUCGGAUCGUAAAACUCUGUUGUAAGGGAAGAACAAGUACGUUAGGAAAUGAACGCACCUUGACGGUACCUUAUUAGAAAGCCACGGNUAACUACGUGCCAG
Molecule: ribosomal RNA, 462 nt
Filed under: Rummeliibacillus stabekisii
Lineage: Bacteria; Bacillati; Bacillota; Bacilli; Caryophanales; Caryophanaceae
Description: bacterial SSU rRNA
Rfam family: Bacterial small subunit ribosomal RNA
Source: RNAcentral